This 449-nucleotide ribosomal RNA is filed under the name uncultured bacterium. RNAcentral describes it as "bacterial SSU rRNA". It matches the Rfam family "Bacterial small subunit ribosomal RNA", at positions 354 to 796 of the family's 1533-position model. The record is from RNAcentral.
GUGGGGAAUAUUGGACAAUGGGCGAAAGCCUGAUCCAGCAAUACCGCGUGUGUGAAGAAGGCCUGAGGGUUGUAAAGCACUUUCAAUAGGAAGGAAUACCUAUCGGUUAAUACCCGGUAGACUGACAUUACCUAUACAAGAAGCACCGGCUAACUCCGUGCCAGCAGCCGCGGUAAUACGGAGGGUGCAAGCGUUAAUCGGAAUUACUGGGCGUAAAGCGUGCGUAGGCGGCUUAUUAAGUCAGAUGUGAAAGCCCUGGGCUUAACCUGGGAACUGCAUUUGAAACUGGUAAGCUAGAGUUGAGUAGAGGAGAGUGGAAUUUCAGGUGUAGCGGUGAAAUGCGUAGAGAUCUGAAGGAACACCAGUGGCGAAGGCGGCUCUCUGGACUCAAACUGACGCUGAGGUACGAAAGCGUGGGUAGCAAACAGGAUUAGAAACCCUAGUAGUCC